GCCCGGCCCGGGCGCCUGUUAUUGUUGGGCCCUCAGCCCAAACUGAUCCCGCAGAGGCGGCAGCCAGCUCGUCAGUGACUUCCGGGACGUCCCCCAUCCCGCGCUCCCUGCUCCUCAGGCCCAGCUUGCUCCUUGCUCCUUUCUCCUCGCUCCUCCGACGCACAUCAGACCACUGGAAGGGGCCAUUCUACAAGGAGUUGUUGAGCACCUGCUGUCUAUCUACAGAAAUCUUGAAAUGUGGAACAGAGAUGGAAAUAUAGCAUGCAAGUCAGAAUGAAUUGCCAAACAAUGACAGAAGGCUGCUCUGAAAUGAUCAAAAUUUUCUCCUGGGACCUCACACCAAAGGAAUAUAAUAGGCAUUCAUUUCUAAGACAAUGCGGGUAAAGUGGAAUUCUAGUUUAUAUUACCUUUCUUAUUCUCUGCAUGCUGCUCUAGACAACUUUGUCAUGAUCCUUGCUUCUGGGGACUUGGUUUGUUUGGGGAAUGACAUCUUAUGAGGCAGUGGGAGCAAUACUUGUCCAGGACCAUUUUACCCAUGCAACCCAGAUGCAUAACCCAGGGGCAGAACUGGGGAUUCUAAUCAAGUCUCAAAGUGGAUAGGUUUGGAGAGGGCCAUCAUUGUAGCACAUAGAGGCUCCAAGAAGCUACAGUUCCUCCACAAGGCAAGCCCAGGUUCUGGCUUCUUUUUACAGGGUUUCAAAAGUGUGUAUUAUUUUAUUGUAUUUCUGGUUGUUUACUCUACAUUAAGAUAUUUAAAAAUAAAAAUAGAUUCUCAACCUAAAUUUUAAUUUUUUAUCUCUCUUCCUCUUUUUCUCAUUCUUUAUUUCAUGUUUCUUAAUCAGUAAAGAAUGGAAGAAUAGGCCGGG
This 866-nucleotide long non-coding RNA is filed under the name Homo sapiens (human). Its description in RNAcentral is "HSALNT0057505". Lineage: Eukaryota; Metazoa; Chordata; Mammalia; Primates; Hominidae. The record is from RNAcentral.